GUGCAGCGGCGAGAAUUUUUCUCAAUGGGGGCAACCCUGAAGGAGCGACGCCGCGUGGAGGAUGAAGGCUUUCGGGUUGUAAACUCCUGUCAUUUGAGAACAAGUGGCCGAACCUAACUACUUCGGCCUUGAUAGUAUCAGAAGAGGAAGGGACGGCUAACUCUGUGCCAGCAGCCGCGGUAAUACAGAGGUCCCAAGCGUUGUUCGGAUUCAUUGGGCGUAAAGGGUGCGUAGGUGGCGCCGUCAGUGGGGUGUGAAAUUUCGGAGCUUAACUCCGAAACUGCAUUCCAUACUGCGGUGCUUGAGGACUGGAGAGGAGACUGGAAUUUACGGUGUAGCAGUGAAAUGCGUAGAGAUCGUAAGGAAGACCAGUGGCGAAGGCGGGUCUCUGGACAGUUCCUGACACUGAGGCACGAAGGCCAGGGGAGCAAACGGGAUUAGAUACCCGUGUAGU
Molecule: ribosomal RNA, 454 nt
Filed under: uncultured organism
Description: bacterial SSU rRNA
Rfam family: Bacterial small subunit ribosomal RNA
Source: RNAcentral